Molecule: long non-coding RNA, 2413 nt
Organism: Neofelis nebulosa (Clouded leopard)
Lineage: Eukaryota; Metazoa; Chordata; Mammalia; Carnivora; Felidae
Exons: 2
Source: RefSeq, a predicted model, not a curated record
UAGUACACUGUGUGUUAACUAACUUUUUAUUUUAUUUGAAAAAAUAAACUGGGGCUCUGGGGUGACUGAGUGGGCUAAGCAUCCGACUCUUGAUCUAGGCUCAGGUCAUGAUCUCACGGUUCGUGGUUUCGAGCCUGAAGUCGGGCUUUUCAGAGCCUGCUUGCGAUUCUGUCUCUCCCUCUCCCUGCCCCUCCCCUGCUCGUGCUCUCUCUCUCUCUCUCUCUCAAAAUAAAUAAACCACCUUAAAAAAAGCAAUUGAAUAAAACAAAGCAAAACGAAACCUCCAUUGCAUCAUGAACCAGAAAGGAGGCAGGAGGGCUUACCGGUGACUUAGCAGUCUUGGCAUGCGUCUGAAAAAAUUUAAAGACACCCACUCUGACUCUUAGAUAUCGUUACAAACAGGGACUAUGCAUGAUGACACCACUAGCUGGAGUUGUACGUCAUCUUUCUUUGGAGUCUAAGACAGUACCUCAGGUCUAAGUCAGCUAAUCUGUCCCACUCACACUUUCAGCAUUUCUGGAAGAACAUGUAGGAAGGAAGUCUCUCAGAAGCUUUCAGAGGGACCAAGCUGACAUUUUGACAGAAUAUGUUUUUUAAAGCAUGGACGAGGCAAAGAGUGAGGGAGCAGCCAAUAGGCAGCUUCAUAAAAAAAAAAAAAAAAAAAAAACCAAAAAUCCAUGGAAGUGAAUAUAAAUGGUAAGAAAUGCAAUACAACGAGAGAACGUUCUUCCCUUUUUAUGAAUCUGUUAAGCAUACUCACCCUAGUGUUCCCACACACAGAGAGACUGGGGUCAUUUUCUUCACCACAGCGUCUGUUCUCCCAGUAGCUCAAACAAUCACGGGAAGCCCGAUUUUGAAAAUCACAGCAACUUUAUUUUGCACAUUUCACAAAAAUGCUUUAUACUCAGAGUACUGAACCCUUUAAACAAAAAACGAAAAUGAAGGGCACUCGGGUGGCUCAGUCGGUUAAAGCCUCCGACUCCUGGUUUUAGCUCAGGUCACAAUCUCACGGUUCGCGAGUUCAAGCCUCGCGUCGGCCUCUGUGCUGAUGGUGUGGACCCUGCUUGGGAUUUUUUCUCGCCAGCAGGCACCAUGGGGCACCCACACUGCUCUGGUCCUGCCUCCCCUCCCUCUGUGUCUUCACCUGCAAUGGUUUCUCUGAUUUUCCAGCUUCUAGUCAUUCUCCAGGACCCUUCUCAAGCGUCUUUUCCUUUGGGGACGCUUGUCUGAUGUCAAGUCGCACUAAACUACUCUCUGUGUCCCUGCUCUGGGCUCCUGCAACCUGAUGUGUCCCCAGCUCAGAUCCAACCACCCCGAACUGGUGGCCGGCUCCCCUUCCAACCCCCAGCCGGUUUGCCAAGUGUUUCAAUUUAUUUGUCUCUGAUUUGCUAGCACCCCACAGGAAGCUUGGAGAGAAAUAGUCAUUCAAUAAAUACUUGUUGGCUGAACUGCUUACGAACCAACUUGAUUCUUUUUUCUUCCAUAAAGAUACAAAGCCUCCCCAAACACUAUGGAGCAGGCUGUGUCCGUGUGGCUGGUGGGACCUCAGACAAAGCAGAUGACAAAAAUAUCUUACAGGAGGUGUUUUCUUAAGGGAGACCAUGCAUCCAACACGGAAACUCCAGCCUGGUUUUCCACAGGCGAAGUGAGGGAUGGAGAAGUCUGCACGGUGAUGCUCCGCGACCUUCAGGACACACGGUCAGAGCACGAACAGGAAGACACUGCACAUCGCCCCGGAGGAUUGUGGUGUCGCUUGGAGAACGUCUGUGUGCGACCCCGAUGUCAAAGCAUCCUGCCAGGGUAAGAGCAAGGCGCACUCGCCAGCUUGGGGGAGCCCAAGGCCUCGUGUGGCGCCUGUUUGCACUUUUCCCACCAGCCUCUGCCUCCCUUUCUGCCACACCUCCCCGGUCGCAAAGUGUGCCUCCCUCGUUAAUUUCCACAAGAAAUCAACAAGAUGGGAAGAAGACUUUUGGUUUCAUUUCGCUUUGUUUCUUCGUAAAUGGUUUUGUUGACACGUAAUUGCACAUGAUUCACCCGUUUAACGUGUACAGUUCAGGGCGUUGGGUGUAUUCACACACGUGUGCAACCAGCACACCACCAUCUGUUUUAGAGGAUUUUUGUCACCUCAAAAAAACCUCCGAACCCUUUAGCUAUUAUCCCCCAACCUUCCUCCAACCCCCCGCCCCAAACCCCACCCCCAACCUAGUCGUAAGCAACCAUGAACCUACUUCCUGUUCCUGUAGAUUUCCCCGUGCUGGACUUUCCUGCGAAUGGAAUCCUAGAACAUGUGAUCUUUUCAUGACUGGUUCCUGUCACGCAUCAUGAACAGUUACGUGGUUCAUCCACGUUGUAUCACGUAUCAGCACUUCGUUCCUUUGUAUGAUGGAAUAAUACUCUGUUGUAUACUUUGGCA